Long non-coding RNA from Lagopus leucura (white-tailed ptarmigan), 424 nucleotides. RefSeq lists it as uncharacterized. The transcript is spliced from 6 exons. Lineage: Eukaryota; Metazoa; Chordata; Aves; Galliformes; Phasianidae. The record is from RefSeq and is a predicted model, not a curated record.
CACAGAGAUAACCAAGAAAGCUGACUGUGGCUCGCCCUGUGAGAACACUGACUUAAUGGGACUGUUUUCAUUGGAAAAUGAUGUUUUCAGCUCAAAUUAGAAUAUGCAUUUGCUCAAGGUGACCAACUAUCCAUAGAACAAAUGAAAACAAGAACCUACCUUCUGUCUGACAUGGAUCUCAUGCUGCCUACACAUGCCUCUCUUGUUCAGCUCAUUUGUGUUUCUCUGCCUUCGUUUCAAGUAAUGGAUAGCUACUUUCUUCUGUGAGUGCCUUGAGGCUCAGUUGAAGUUUGAUACUGACUUUAUUGGAGCCCGAGUGUGUACAACAAAUGUACUGCUUAAUUAUUCCAAAAGGGGCAAGUGGACAGAAGUCUUCAAGUGGUUUUUGUGUCUGCUUUUUGUUGUAGAUAUCCAGAAGAUUGAG